RNAcentral lists this long non-coding RNA (285 nucleotides) under Lathyrus oleraceus (garden pea). RNAcentral's name for it is "Pisum sativum (pea) long non-coding RNA (PSAT_LNC026382)". The record is from RNAcentral. Lineage: Eukaryota; Viridiplantae; Streptophyta; Magnoliopsida; Fabales; Fabaceae.
UUUGCACUUCCUGUAUGCACCUUUUCCUUUUAAGGGUUUUAUCGACUAUUUAUUCUCUCCUCUCUGAUAGAGGAAAUCAAACAAAAUUUGGUGGCGACUCUUCUAUUUUUUCCUUUUCUUUCACUUUGAUCGAGGAGUCAUUCUUUUAGUUCAGUCUUUCCAGCUUCGUACACCCAAUCGAAACCUCGGUUGUGAGUACUGGCGACUCAUCUGGGGAAUGAAAUUCCCUAAGCAAGUCUAGUCUAGUUUAGGUUGUCCUUUUUUUAGCGUAUAUGAGGAUUUAUC